This 422-nucleotide ribosomal RNA is filed under the name uncultured Clostridium sp. RNAcentral describes it as "bacterial SSU rRNA". It matches the Rfam family "Bacterial small subunit ribosomal RNA", at positions 355 to 794 of the family's 1533-position model. The record is from RNAcentral. Lineage: Bacteria; Bacillati; Bacillota; Clostridia; Eubacteriales; Clostridiaceae.
UGGGGAAUAUUGCACAAUGGGGGAAACCCUGAUGCAGCGACGCCGCGUGAGUGAAGAAGUAUUUCGGUAUGUAAAGCUCUAUCAGCAGGGAAGAAAACGACGGUACCUGACUAAGAAGCCCCGGCUAACUACGUGCCAGCAGCCGCGGUAAUACGUAGGGGGCAAGCGUUAUCCGGAUUUACUGGGUGUAAAGGGAGCGUAGACGGUAAAGCAAGUCUGAAGUGAAAGCCCGCGGCUCAACUGCGGGACUGCUUUGGAAACUGUUUAACUGGAGUGCUGGAGAGGUAAGCGGAAUUCCUAGUGUAGCGGUGAAAUGCGUAGAUAUUAGGAGGAACACCAGUGGCGAAGGCGGCUUACUGGACAGUAACUGACGUUGAGGCUCGAAAGCGUGGGGAGCAAACAGGAUUAGAUACCCUGGUAGU